AUUAGUGAAAUAGUAAUAAUAUAUAGGCAUUGAUACAAACUAAUCAUUUUCAACACAUCACUACACUAUUGUAACAAAAGAAUACUAUUUAUGAACGGCAUGUAAGAAGUAUGCAAGUACAGUUUUUCUUUUCUUAAAAAAAGGCCUUGGAAUGGGGUGAGGGAGAGAAAAAGGGAAAAAAAAAAAGGCAUUUCUGUCAUUUUCCCAAGGUCAGGGAAUCAUGCAUCAAAAGAAACAUGAAAACUAGAAGAUUCCAAUUGCACUAUUUCAUUAAAGCAGAUCAAAAAGCAUAUAUAUCAGCAUAUCUACAGAAAUUAGAAAAUGGAUGCCCUUAGAAACUUUAGCCCAAGUGACAAAGAAAGGAUAAGGUGAAGGUUGCAGUAGGUCUCAUGCUCAAAUAUUACCAAUCAAAGAAACUUAUUAACCACCAAACAAAAAAAACACAAAUGCUCUUUCUAUAGGAGGCUUAUAUAUAUUGAUGCACUCACAGUCUAGGAAAAUGAUUUAAUUUUUCAUUAUAAAAUUAGGAAAUGUAGGUUUCUAUUAUUUAGGAAAUUAAAUUAGGAUGUAGUAUUUGAAUUAUUUAGUAUUUCUAUUGUUUAGAAUUUCCUUUAUUAGUAUUGGUUUGGUAUUAUUAGUUAGAAUUUGUUUAGUAUGUUAUUACUUGGGAUUCCAAAUCCAUACUAGUACGACUAGUUAUUAUACCAUAAAUUCCCAUGUCAUCUAUGUAUUUUAAUAGAGCUCAUAAAAUUGACAAUUGAUUGAUUUUGAGAAUUAAUAUAAUUUUGAGAAUUGUUUCUCAUACUCUCGAGUGUUCUUUCUUGUUUCUACAUCAUUACCACUAAAAUGAAACCUCAGGAGUGAGAGUGAAAUAGCUUAUGAAGGAUCAUGGACUCUAAACCACAAGUUAAUAUGAGAGCUUUCCAUUCCAUUUUGGAGAUCAAAAUCAAAGAAGCAUAAGCAGGCCUCUUAUCUUUGUUAGGGAAACAUAAGUAUGGGUCAAUGGAUGCUUUGGGUUCUAUAGGAAAUGGAAUCAAAGAUUUUUAUGGUUACAAAGGGGAAAAGGGGACAAUUAGCUAGUUUAUGUUGUACAAAAAGAUAUACACAAUGAAAGCACACAUAUAUAUAACACUCUCACUCCUGAAGUAUCUGAUUGAUAGAUAGAAAUAGAAUAAACAACUAUCAUAUGUGCACGGAACAGCAAAAUCAAAUACUGUAAAAUCAUUGAUUA
This 1231-nucleotide unclassified non-coding RNA is filed under the name Hevea brasiliensis (rubber tree). Lineage: Eukaryota; Viridiplantae; Streptophyta; Magnoliopsida; Malpighiales; Euphorbiaceae. The record is from RNAcentral.